RNAcentral lists this unclassified non-coding RNA (238 nucleotides) under Glomus sp. Its description in RNAcentral is "partial contains 5.8S ribosomal RNA and internal transcribed spacer 2". The stretch from base 1 to 65 matches the Rfam family "5.8S ribosomal RNA", at positions 84 to 154 of the family's 154-position model. The record is from RNAcentral. Lineage: Eukaryota; Fungi; Glomeromycota; Glomeromycetes; Glomerales; Glomeraceae.
GUGAAUCAUCGAAUCUUUGAACGCAAAUUGCACUCUCCUCGGAGAGUAUGCCUGUUUGAGGGUCAGCCUAAAAAAAAUCGAAAUCGUUGCUGUUCGGCGGUGACGUUGGUGGGAAAUUGGGUUAUCUUAAACCUUUUGUUUUAAACGACUUAAAAUUUUCUUUUUGAUUCCUUGAACGUUUCUAUGAUUUAUUUUUUUAACCUUUUAGGUAACGGAUUUUUAUUGGACGUGGCCGCAA